GUCACCUGGGGAUCUUGUUAAAAUGCACAUUCUGAUUCACUAGCUCUGGGGUGGAAUGUAACAUUCUGCAUUUCUAACAAGCUCCCAGGUGAUACUAG
RNAcentral lists this microRNA precursor (98 nucleotides) under Ictidomys tridecemlineatus (thirteen-lined ground squirrel). RNAcentral's name for it is "Spermophilus tridecemlineatus (thirteen-lined ground squirrel) mir-544 microRNA precursor family". It matches the Rfam family "mir-544 microRNA precursor family". Lineage: Eukaryota; Metazoa; Chordata; Mammalia; Rodentia; Sciuridae. The record is from Rfam by way of RNAcentral.